This 253-nucleotide ribosomal RNA is filed under the name uncultured bacterium. RNAcentral describes it as "partial 16S ribosomal RNA". It matches the Rfam family "Bacterial small subunit ribosomal RNA", at positions 524 to 776 of the family's 1533-position model. The record is from RNAcentral.
CACGUAGGGCGCAAGCGUUGUCCGGAAUUAUUGGGCGUAAAGAGCUCGUAGGCGGUCUGUUGCGUCUGCUGUGAAAACCCGGGGCUUAACCCCUGGCUUGCAGUGGAUACGGACAGACUAGAGGUAGGUAGGGGAGAAUGGAAUUCCCGGUGUAGCGGUGAAAUGCGCAGAUAUCGGGAGGAACACCGGUGGCGAAGGCGGUUCUCUGGGCCUUACCUGACGCUGAGGAGCGAAAGCAUGGGUAGCGAACAGG